CACGUAGGGCGCAAGCGUUGUCCGGAAUUAUUGGGCGUAAAGAGCUCGUAGGCGGACUGUCACGCCUGCUGUGAAAAGCUGGGGCUUAACCCUGGCCUUGCAGUGGAUACGGGCAGACUAGAGGUAGGUAGGGGAGAAUGGAAUUCCCGGUGUAGCGGUGAAAUGCGCAGAUAUCGGGAGGAACACCGGUGGCGAAGGCGGUUCUCUGGGCCUUACCUGACGCUGAGGAGCGAAAGCGUGGGGAGCGAACAGG
RNAcentral lists this ribosomal RNA (253 nucleotides) under uncultured bacterium. RNAcentral's name for it is "partial 16S ribosomal RNA". It matches the Rfam family "Bacterial small subunit ribosomal RNA", at positions 524 to 776 of the family's 1533-position model. The record is from RNAcentral.